GCACUCAGACGGGAGGGAAACAAAGAAGUAACGAAAAUGAAGUGGAGAAGGUCAAAGAUGUUGCGGAAGAAACGCACAUGACCGUGGCACAGUCGAGGACUGGGAAAGAGGAACAGACGAGUUUUAAGUUGAGUUGGAGAUCGUCAAGGUGAAGCCCAGAGCACAGCUGUGACACACAUACGGGUCUUCAUGGCAGCUGGAGUGAUAGUGCUCUCUAAGCUGACCCCAGAACAUAACUUGGUGACUUCAAGGUGAAAGGUCAAUAAAACACAGAGACAGAGCCUUCGGUUUUCACUUCAAGAGUAUGAUAUGCAGAAGAAGCAAGAGAGAAGAGGAGAGUGAGGAGCUAAACCCACCCAGACACCUGUCGCAUGUAGUUACGUGUUGGGGCCGAACACUGACCUGCUUUCUGAUGUCUGGCAAGACAAGAAUAAUAACAGAUCUUGUCAUUGCUAUUUUGCAGUGUGUUUUACAAAAUCACCUGUGUGCCCAUCUGUUUCUCACUCUUCAUCAUAUCACAUUUCUACUCCUGAUUAUGUUCUCUGAGUUUGAUAAUAAAAUGCUCCAUUCACA
Electrophorus electricus (electric eel) is the source of this 573-nucleotide non-coding RNA. The record is from RefSeq and is a predicted model, not a curated record. Lineage: Eukaryota; Metazoa; Chordata; Actinopteri; Gymnotiformes; Gymnotidae.